RNAcentral lists this ribosomal RNA (439 nucleotides) under uncultured bacterium. RNAcentral describes it as "partial 16S ribosomal RNA". It matches the Rfam family "Bacterial small subunit ribosomal RNA", at positions 339 to 795 of the family's 1533-position model. The record is from RNAcentral.
CUACGGGGGGCAGCAGUGGGGAAUAUUGCACAAUGGAGGAAACUCUGAUGCAGCAACGCCGCGUGGAGGAUGACACUUUUCGGAGCGUAAACUCCUUUUAUAUAGGAAGAAGAUGACGGUACUAUAUGAAUAAGCGCCGGCUAACUCCGUGCCAGCAGCCGCGGUAAUACGGAGGGCGCAAGCGUUACUCGGAAUCACUGGGCGUACAGAGCGUGUAGGCGGAUUAAAAAGUCAGAAGUGAAAUCCUAUAGCUUAGCUAUAGAACUGCUUCUGAAACUCUUAAUCUAGAAUAUGGGAGAGGUAGAUGGAAUUUCUGGUGUAGGGGUAAAAUCCGUAGAGAUCAGAAGGAAUACCGAUUGCGAAGGCGAUCUACUAGAACAUUAUUGACGCUGAGACGCGAAAGCGUGGGGAGCAAACAGGAUUAGAUACCCCUGUAGUC